This 468-nucleotide ribosomal RNA is filed under the name uncultured bacterium. RNAcentral describes it as "partial 16S ribosomal RNA". It matches the Rfam family "Bacterial small subunit ribosomal RNA", at positions 28 to 507 of the family's 1533-position model. The record is from RNAcentral.
GACGAACGCUGGCGGCGUGCUUAACACAUGCAAGUCGAACGGAAAGGCCCUGCUUUUGUGGGGUGCUCGAGUGGCGAACGGGUGAGUAACACGUGAGUAACCUCCCCCUGACUUUGGGAUAACAUCAGGAAAAUGGGGCUAAAACCGGAUAGGAGCUCCUGAUGCAUGGUGGGGGAUGGAAAGAUUCGGCGGUUGGGGAUGGACUGGCGGCUUAUCAGCUUGUUGGUGAGGUAGUGACGUACCAAGGGUAUGACGGGUAGCCGGCAUGGGAGGGGGGCCGGGCACAUUGGUACUGAGAGAGGGCCCAGAAGCGUACGUGAGGCAGCGGGGGAGAGUAUUGCAGAACGAGCGGGAGUGUGUUGCAGCGACGCUGGGAGCGUGAUGACGGGUUACGGGGUGUGAACCGAUGUGUACGGAGACGAGGAGAGAGUGACGGUAAUUGGUAAAGAAGCACCGGCUAACUACGUG